This 73-nucleotide transfer RNA is filed under the name Marmota monax (woodchuck). Its description in RNAcentral is "tRNA.Undet". Lineage: Eukaryota; Metazoa; Chordata; Mammalia; Rodentia; Sciuridae. The record is from RNAcentral.
GUGGGGCUAUAGCUCAGUGGCAGAGCACUUGCCUUGCAAGUGUAAGGCACUGGGUUCAAUCCUCAGCACCACA